CGCCUACGGGGGGCAGCAGUGAGGAAUAUUGGUCAAUGGACGAGAGUCUGAACCAGCCAAGUAGCGUGAAGGAUGACUGCCCUAUGGGUUGUAAACUUCUUUUGUCGGAGAACAAAACCCGGGACGUGUCCCGGACUGCGUGUAUCCGAAGAAAAAGCAUCGGCUAACUCCGUGCCAGCAGCCGCGGUAAUACGGAGGAUGCGAGCGUUAUCCGGAUUUAUUGGGUUUAAAGGGUGCGUAGGCGGUCCGUGAAGUCAGCGGUAAAAUUGCGGGGCUCAACCCCGUCGAGCCGUUGAAACUGGCAG
This 305-nucleotide ribosomal RNA is filed under the name uncultured bacterium. Its description in RNAcentral is "bacterial SSU rRNA". It matches the Rfam family "Bacterial small subunit ribosomal RNA", at positions 336 to 639 of the family's 1533-position model. The record is from RNAcentral.